RNAcentral lists this long non-coding RNA (1601 nucleotides) under Homo sapiens (human). RNAcentral describes it as "HSALNT0325668". The record is from RNAcentral. Lineage: Eukaryota; Metazoa; Chordata; Mammalia; Primates; Hominidae.
UAUUUUUCCAUUAUUCAGUACCCAACAGAAGUAAGAGAAAGGCCAUUUUUGUUAUUGCCCUGCUGUUUCUCCUGGGUAAUUGGAUUGUUUAUUUUAGUAUCAUCCUUUCUUGCAGCUCGGUUAUCAUUUAUCACACUUUGCCAUUCAGUGGAGAAUGACUCACUGAAGAGCUAAAACUGAAACUGUUUUCAAACCAUUUCAUCUAAAGCCAAACAUGAUUGAAUAUAAUUCAUCUUUGAGUCCAGUAGAAGAGCUAAAAACUUGCAUGUCUUCUGUGCCUUUGGAAUAACUGCUUGAGUGUUUAGAGACCACCCACCUGGAUGUGUAACUUGGAAGAGUGAGAAAAAGGUGUUCCUGUACAACACAGAGACAGACAAGCUGAGCCCAAGAACCUGACACAUGAGUGGAAGAAGCCAAGAUUGAAAUGAAAUUUCUAGCUCCAGCUCUUCCCGCUGUAGGUGUUUAUAUAUUCACAGCUGAUCUCCCAGACAUCUGGGGACCCAGACAAGCCAUCCUAACUGUGUUCUUUCUGAAUUCCUUUCAAAAUCUAUGAACAUGUUAAAAUUUCUCCUUUUGUAUGCCAUUAAGUUAUAGGAUAGUUUGCUAUGAAGUAAUAUAUAAAUAAAACAGAUGUAUGUUUUAAGAAAAAAUAAAUUAAAAGCUCUUUGCAGAAGUAACACUUUAAGGGUUGCCACUUUAAAUUUUGAUAUAAAUUAUUUUAAUUUAAAUGAUUGAAAAAAUAUAAUUGCGUAAUUUAUUUAAUUGUUCAGCACAUCCAUGUUUUCACUUUUGAUGCCAGGGUACUUUAGAUCUUUUAAUAAAAAAUAAAGCCUGGUGUGUAUUCAUCCUUGCAUUUCCAUUAUCUGUCAUAUUGAUGUGCACAAAACAAAUCCUAAAAAGUAUUUCUUUGGUAAAGUCAACUAAAUAUAUCUGCAUGUAAAAUAUUAGAGAUAGUUUACCAAAGGGGACUUAUCCAAUCAAGUAAUGCAUAAAGGUAUUCUUAUUGUUAAUAAACACUAAAAAAUGACAUUGUAGCAUAAGUAAUCAAGAAAACAACAAACAUACACAAAAUUAUUUCCCUUGAUGAAAUCCACGAAUAUAUAUGGAGCUUCACCAAAGCAGAAUUUUGAUGACUAUACAUACACACACACACACACACACACACGCUGUACUAAAAUGGAGAAGUAACCUAUCAUAAGAGUGACCCUGUAAUAAAUUUGCUCUUAAUUCACACUAAUCCAUACUAUUUAAGAACAAAAGAAGCUGUUUGGACUAAAUAAUGAAAAGUCUGUGUCACUGGCCACAGUUCCAAAUAAAAAACGGUGUGAGAGAAUAAAGUGUAUAUGAAGUGAGAAUAAGAUAUAUAUGGGGCUUCUCAAGAAUUCUGAUAGAGAUGUGUGUGUGUGUGUGUGUGUGUGUGUGUGCAUGGUCUUUUGUAGAAUUCUACUUAGAAGAAGCUCUGUAUAUAUUUUAUCCUCACCUACAAACUGUGGAUUUCAUCUGAAGAUGUGGCCAGUGACCCAGGCUUCUCAUUAUUUAACCCAGGCAAUUUCUGUUGUCCUUCAACAGGACAGAUUAGUGUCAUACAAAGAGGAAAUGAA